GAUGGUGGGGGCGGUGGGUUAACAAAAACUCUGGUGGGAAACCUGCUGGGAACGACUCAAACGUCCAACGAGAAAGGGGCAGUGAGGUGAUCUGGGGUGUGUCCCCAGAGCAGAGCGCGCCGCAGCCUGCGGAGAAGCGAGCAAGUCUCUGCGAGCAGAUGGGACAGGAGACCCGGGCCACACCGCCGACGGGGGACGCGGAGGCGAAGCCCCGCAUGACCCGGGAGUCGGACGUGCGCAAAGGGACAGGUGAGCCGACCAAGGACACGUCUCAAAGGCCCUUGCCUGGGAAGCUGGCGCUGCCUGGAGAGGACGGGCAACCAGGGUGGUGGCGGCAGGCGCGUGACUGCAGGACUUGUGCCUAUGUAUCCGGCGGCCCCGUGCAGGGCAGGCCUGGGCGUCCGGACACGUGGGCUCAGAGUGAUCUGCACGGGGCUGUUGAAGUUUUUACUUCGACACGCACAGAAAGAGAAGAAAUACUUUCCUGAUGACAUGCAGCUAAGUCUGUGAGUGUGUUGGAUGACAUAGUCGGGGAGGAACACUGGAUCGUGUCUAGCAAGAUGGAAUUUCACAAGCAAAAUGAACUUGGCUUCGGGAAAGCCAGAUGCAUAGGUACAGAGAAGAUGUGUCUGAAUGAUGGCAGGUGUGACAGAGGCCAGGGAUUUGGGAGGGUGGUGUAACAAAUUCAAGGGGGGAGCGAACCUGCCCUGGGCUGCGUUCCCCAGCCUGGAGAAGUUGGAAUGAAGAUGCAGAACAAUGCCUGGAAUGCUGCCUUCAUCCCUGGGCGGCAGCCUUUCUCAGAACUGGUCGGCAGAAGUAAUUUUCAGGCAGUCGCAUUCUAGUCACAGAAAGAACUUUCUAAGCACGAGCUGUCCAAGGAUAAACAGGCCUCCUUGGAUUGGAGUGAGUUCCCUAAAGCUGGAAGUGUGCAGGCAGCCCGUGCCGGGGCAGGGAGGGCCACGUGUCCAGGGGACAGGCCUGUCCUCAUCACCUCCACUCCUGUGCUGGCACCCCACUGCCCUCAGACAUGGUCUGUAAUGUUUGUCCAGUUAGUGAAUUGAGGAAAUUACAAAUCUGGAGAACUAUCUGAUGGCCCAUCAUGUUCCUUCCAGGCCUGGAUAUUAGGGUCCAGAAAAUCCCCACUACAGAGUGUGUGUUGGUUUCUUAUAGCUGCUGUAACAAAUUCUACAAGCUAGUGAGUUAAAACAAACACAUGUUUAUUCGAUUAAAGUUUGAUAAGUCAGAA
This is a non-coding RNA of Vicugna pacos (alpaca), 1246 nucleotides long. NCBI's taxonomy places the organism in Eukaryota, Metazoa, Chordata, Mammalia, Artiodactyla, Camelidae. The record is from RefSeq and is a predicted model, not a curated record.